UACGUAGGGUGCGAGCGUUGUCCGGAAUUAUUGGGCGUAAAGAGCUUGUAGGCGGUUGUCGCGUUCUGCUGUGAAAUCCGGGCUCAACCCGGACUUGCAGUGGGUACGGGCAGACGUGGAGUGUGGUAGGGGAGACUGGAAUUCCUGGUGUAGCGGUGGAAUGCGCAGAUAUCAGGAGGAACACCGAUGGCGAAGGCAGGU
RNAcentral lists this ribosomal RNA (201 nucleotides) under uncultured bacterium. RNAcentral describes it as "partial 16S ribosomal RNA". It matches the Rfam family "Bacterial small subunit ribosomal RNA", at positions 524 to 726 of the family's 1533-position model. The record is from RNAcentral.